This 155-nucleotide ribosomal RNA is filed under the name Fusarium oxysporum. RNAcentral describes it as "partial large subunit ribosomal RNA". It matches the Rfam family "Eukaryotic large subunit ribosomal RNA", at positions 99 to 258 of the family's 3401-position model. Lineage: Eukaryota; Fungi; Ascomycota; Sordariomycetes; Hypocreales; Nectriaceae. The record is from RNAcentral.
CGGCAACAGCUCAAAUUUGAAAUCUGGCCUUUGGCCCGAGUUGUAAUUUGUAGAGGAUGCUUUUGGUGCGGUGCCUUCCGAGUUCCCUGGAACGGGACGCCAUAGAGGGUGAGAGCCCCGUCUGGUUGGAUGCCAAAUCUCUGUAAAGUUCCUUC